GCCGGGCGUGAUGGCUCAUGCCUGUAAUCCAAGCACUUUGGAGGCCAAGGCAGGCGGAUCACCUGAGGUUGGGAGUUCAAGACCAGCCUGAUCAACAUGGUGAAACCCCGUCUUUAUAUAUAUAUAUUUUUUAAUUUAAAAUUUUUUUUAAAAAGACGGGGUUUCACCGUAUUGGUCAGGCUUGUCUUGAACUCCCAACCUCAGGUGAUCCUCCUGCCUU
This 220-nucleotide signal recognition particle RNA is filed under the name Callithrix jacchus (white-tufted-ear marmoset). RNAcentral describes it as "Metazoan signal recognition particle RNA (ENSCJAG00000058744.2)". It matches the Rfam family "Metazoan signal recognition particle RNA". Rfam says of the family: The signal recognition particle (SRP) is a universally conserved ribonucleoprotein. It is involved in the co-translational targeting of proteins to membranes. The eukaryotic SRP consists of a 300-nucleotide 7S RNA and six proteins: SRPs 72, 68, 54, 19, 14, and 9. The record is from Rfam by way of RNAcentral. Lineage: Eukaryota; Metazoa; Chordata; Mammalia; Primates; Cebidae.